GCAAGUGGUAUAGCUUGGGGACCACUGAUGAAUAUUCUUUUUUCCAAAAGAUUUAUGACUUCUGCAAUUUUUCAGCAGCUCAUUCUCUGAUUUCGGCUAGGUUGGUGUUGAGUAUUCUUCUUCUAAUUUCAUUUUCCAUGAUUGGAGUUUGGCUAGCGAUUCCUGUGAUUUACUCUGCAACUAUUUGGCUUCAAUUUAUGUAUUUUUCUGUUGACCAAUCCACAAAAGUCUCUUUGAAGUUGCGAAAAUGAAGAAGAUGAUAUGAAUUUGUAAUAUUUGUACGUAUUCUUGUGUAAUGAAUGACACUCUCUCUUAUGCUUAUGCAUUUCCAAUAAAAUUGGUUAAGAUUAUUGCUCAAAUAUAGCUUUGAGAUCGCACUCCAG
Molecule: long non-coding RNA, 383 nt
Filed under: Olea europaea (common olive)
Lineage: Eukaryota; Viridiplantae; Streptophyta; Magnoliopsida; Lamiales; Oleaceae
Description: long non-coding RNA (OEUR_LNC002057)
Source: RNAcentral